Long non-coding RNA from Zophobas morio, 505 nucleotides. RefSeq lists it as uncharacterized. The transcript is spliced from 4 exons. NCBI's taxonomy places the organism in Eukaryota, Metazoa, Arthropoda, Insecta, Coleoptera, Tenebrionidae. The record is from RefSeq and is a predicted model, not a curated record.
GUUUUAUAGUGUAAUUUUAGUCACUUUACAAGACAAAAUAGAAGUCGUUGCAACUUGAUGUACACCGUGACUAGACAGGAAAUGGAGAUUAACUUAAAUUCUCUCAGUAGAUUACUCGCUAGUAGACCACAGAGAGAAGUUUUAAGAAAUUUGAGGAAUGAAACUAAAAUUGUUGAUAGCAACUCAUUUUCCUUUUCUUCAUCAAGGAGCAUCUUUAUAGAUCAUUGCUCGAAUUCUACUGUUGAAGUAAAAUGCAAAGUGUCAACCAUCUCUCUUUCAAAUUGUACAAGCCUAAAGCUUCUGAUGAACGAUAUAAUAACUGGCUUGAUGCCAUGAAAUGUACUGGACUAGAUAUUAUUUCUUAUGGCAAUUGCAAUGCCUUUACGUUGGACUCUGUAAGUCAGUCGGAAAUAAUAUUUAAAGGAGAAUUUAACUAUAGUUCUCCUCAUCACGAAGUUCCUUGGACUAUUUACACUUCUUUAGUUAAUAAAUAUUUUUUUAAUUU